Long non-coding RNA from Anguilla anguilla (European eel), 486 nucleotides. RefSeq lists it as uncharacterized. The record is from RefSeq and is a predicted model, not a curated record. The transcript has 3 exons. Lineage: Eukaryota; Metazoa; Chordata; Actinopteri; Anguilliformes; Anguillidae.
GGAACGAAGGUGUAUUUAAAAAAAAAACUAGUUGUGUUUGUCCAAUUCAAUUCACAUUCCACAAUCAACAACAAAACAAUGUUAUUUUUUCCAGAUUGUAUUUGGAACUUCACUUUACCUUGCUUGUAUUCACACCGGAUCAAUUUAGCAGUUGCAUCACAGUGUUGAGUAAGUAUCGAUGGUAAGCACACUUCACGAUCAUAGACCUACCAUGCCGGGAGUGGGUCAAAAGCUGUUUGCGGUCUUGAAACACAACGGAGUAUCGUUUCGUGGAGUAUUGUUCCAUGGAUAUAGGUCAGAGCAAAAGAGCUGACGUUCGCUGUCUAUUUGAUGGACGUCUUUGAUACCCUACUUCUAGGUCCACAAGACUGGGCGCCACAAGGAACCUGUGCUUGUCACAGAGGUACAGGAGGUUGCAGAGCCCACAAGACCAGGACGAUGAGGAAAUAGAGAAACCAAUAAAAUUCUCCUCCAGCAAAGCCAGCC